This 373-nucleotide ribosomal RNA is filed under the name Streptococcus anginosus. RNAcentral's name for it is "bacterial SSU rRNA". It matches the Rfam family "Bacterial small subunit ribosomal RNA", at positions 28 to 382 of the family's 1533-position model. Lineage: Bacteria; Bacillati; Bacillota; Bacilli; Lactobacillales; Streptococcaceae. The record is from RNAcentral.
GACGAACGCUGGCGGCGUGCCUAAUACAUGCAAGUAGGACGCACAGUUUAUACCGUAGCUUGCUACACCAUAGACUGUGAGUUGCGAACGGGUGAGUAACGCGUAGGUAACCUGCCUAUUAGAGGGGGAUAACUAUUGGAAACGAUAGCUAAUACCGCAUACUCAGUAUGUAACACAUGUUCGAUGCUUGAAAGAUGCAAUUGCAUCGCUAGUAGAUGGACCUGCGUUGUAUUAGCUAGUAGGUAGGGUAAAGGCCUACCUAGGCAACGAUACAUAGCCGACCUGAGAGGGUGAUCGGCCACACUGGGACUGAGACACGGCCCAGACUCCUACGGGAGGCAGCAGUAGGGAAUCUUCGGCAAUGGGGGGAACC